UUCCACUCUAGGUUCUAUCAUCGAUGAGAGUGUGGGAAUGUGGCCAGUCUCGGGACGUCGACGCACGAGCUUUUCCGUGAGGGAUGGAGGAGGUCCCGCCUUGCCAAAGCAUUUGUCUUCCUUAUGAGCCUUGCUGGUAAUCUCUUCCACAGCUGCUAUUGCAUUUCCAGCAGCUCAAAUGAUGUUCUUAGACCUGGAAUGAAAGUUCGUGACAGGAAUUCACUUCAUUUCUGAUUCGCUCCAGCUUAAUCAAUGUUUGCUUGACCCA
Long non-coding RNA from Selaginella moellendorffii, 268 nucleotides. RefSeq lists it as uncharacterized. Lineage: Eukaryota; Viridiplantae; Streptophyta; Lycopodiopsida; Selaginellales; Selaginellaceae. The record is from RefSeq and is a predicted model, not a curated record. The transcript has 3 exons.